Equus caballus (horse) is the source of this 3581-nucleotide long non-coding RNA. NCBI's taxonomy places the organism in Eukaryota, Metazoa, Chordata, Mammalia, Perissodactyla, Equidae. The record is from Ensembl.
AAAAGAGACAGGAACCAUUCCCAAGUAUUCAUUAUAAUGUAUCUUGUUAAAGAAUAUCUGUCACCAGAAUUCUAAAAUCUUUAUAAACAGUGGUAAAAAUGUGAAAUACUGAUAUUGUAACACCAAUUAAGCCUACCAUUUUUCCCAAUGUAUUCAAUGUUUUAAAGGAGGCUAUUUCUCUUUGCAAUCUUUCCAGGUAGACUCACAGAAAGCCAACCAUUUCAUAGAACUAGAUCUGUGCAACUGAGUGGAGAUCGGGCUGCCCAUGGCUGAGACGUAGGGACCACCCUCCCUCACACAGCAAAGGCAUGCUUGCAGGGACUGCGUGCCAUUCACAUUUGUUUUUCUAGACCCUUACACACAUCUGAACAUUAAAGAUGCCCAAGAAAUCCUCAAUGAAAAGAAAAAGGUGCAGAGACUCAGUGAAUGUAUACGGCUUCUCCUUAGUCUCAAUUUUUCGUGCUUUCUCUCCUUCCGCACUCUCAGCCUCUUUUUAUUCUCCUCCUUUCUUCUUGUGCUAGGAGCUUGGGAGGACCCAUGAUGGUUCCUCCUUCAAGUAGAGUGAAAAAAGGAGGGCUAUAGGCUAUAACUCUUUUCUAUUUAAAAUUCCUUUGGGCUGAAAGAGGAAAGCAGAGGGCAUUAUCACAAACUGUGAAGCACAGACCACCAAUAUCCUUCUGUUGGAGGAGGUCAUGGAGAGGAGGUGACCACUGGCUGACCUGUGAGCAGGAGCUGGGCAAUCAGAGGCUCCUCACUCCUCUCCUGUGCUUGGAAUGUGUGUUUGGCCCACUGUUCCCACAGCUGGAGCCAUUUUCAAGGUGUAGCCUUGAGCUAGUAAGGUGUUGUAGAGGCCACCUGGAUGGCAUUAAGGCCUCUAUAUAAACUUUAUGUUUCUGGCGGUUGGGUGCGUAGAUCUACUCGUCUUGUGACUGCUAAGACAAGCCUUAUAUGGCAGCCUGUUCAGGGAGCCAAGAGCCCCUUUCCAGUGACCUGUAAGAGGGGCCCCUCCUUGUUUGGGACAGCCCCCAGGGAAAGAGACGCUGCCCAACUGAACCAGCUGAUCAUCCUAGAACUAACUGCUCCCCAGACUGCCGUCCCUCCUCGCUGGGGGCCACCUCUCCUGGUCAAGUCAGCUGCUAUGACAGAUGAACACAGACUGGGCAGCUUAAACAACAGACAUUUGUUGCUCACAGGUCCCGAGGCUGGAAGCGUGAAAUUGGGGUGUCUGCAUGGCCGUGUUUUGGUGAGGGCUCUCUUCCUGACUUGUGGAUGGCUGUGUGCUUCCUGGCAUCAUGCUGUGUGCUCAAAGGUCUUCCUCACCGAGUUCACCCCUCCGAUGCUCCUAGCGACUGUGUUACAAACACUGAACUGACACUGCAUGUGUUUUUUUCCCCUAGAGAUUGAGCAAUAAUCCACUUACCACUUCUAAACAGGACACAUGUUAUUGUCACAGAAAGCUGCCCUAAGGGAUGCUGCAGAGCCGCCUAGCUUAAAAUCACCCUAUAUUCUUUCUUUCUGACGUAUGAUUUUUAGCUAUUGUUAUAUAGAUCAUGUUGAUGUAGUAAUUGCAUUUUCUCUGGUUUUUAGAACUCCUUUACAUUUGUUAAAUCAGAAAUCCCUUCCGAACAGAAGUUUUCUGUUGUAUGUGACCAGCAUCUGCAUGAUUCAACUCACAAUGGUGCUUGAGGAAGUCGAUAUUAAUCCAGUGGUUAUCGCUGGGGAGUGGGGAUCAAAUGAGGGGUAGAGAGUUUUAUUUUCUAUUUCAUAAGCUUCUGUGUUGUUCAUUUAUUGUCACCAUAAGCAGAUGUCACAUUUCUAAUAACACAUAAAGGAAAUAUUUUCACAACGUGCACAAACAGUUGCAAAGAGGGUUAAAUUGGUAAAUCCCUCAGUUAUGCAUCCCAGGGAUCAGUCCCUUUCGAGGUACAAUUUAAUGGAAUCGAAGUCUAAUUCAAUUUUUGGACUUGCUUUCUGGGAGUCCUAGUUGCUCUGUGUUAGAAUGAUUGUGAGAUCCCCUGGGAAUUGCUUUCUGAGUACAAAACUUCAGAGAGUGGGAAGGAGCUGUUCCUGCUGCUGAAGGCAUUUGUUACACAUUUUCAGAAAUGAAUUUGAAGACAUUGCAAAGGCGAUAUUCUUUUUGCCAGUGUUUGAAUGAUUUUUAAAUAACAAUCUACUGGAAGUUUUUAAAUUUGGUAUUGCUGUUUAAUAUUAAUGAGCUUCCACAGUGUUAUCUAUCAUUCAUAAUAAAAAAAAAUCUCUCUGUAUAAGGAGAUACAAAGUUAUGCCGCCAUCAGGAUGAUUUUAAGUUAAAGGGAAAAUAAUCCUACCAACCUACAGAAAGACUGUAACCCUGUCUUUGUGUAGAUUUUCUUCCAAGCAUUUUGGUCAAAAUAUUUUUUAAGCUAGCCAUGUAGAUGGGAAGAAUGCAAGUCUUCUGAGAGUCAAUGAAUAUUCUGGAAAAUGUUUCAUUCAAUGAGUACAUUAAUUAGACUCUCUUGAUUCGAGGUGACAGAAACUGAAGUAGCAUAAGUGGAAAAGGUAAUAUAUUUGCUCAUGAAACUAAGUAUGGGGUAGGGGGUAUACAUGAUGAGUUUUAGGUGUGACUUGUUCCAGGGGCUCCAGCAACGUUGUUGGGCCUCUGUCUCUCUCUCUGCUUCUCUUGGCUCUGUUUCACUUAAAUGUUGGCUUCACUCUCAGGCAUGUUUUGACUGUAUGACGGGAAAGAUCACUCCUGGCUAGUGGGUGGGAGUGCCAAACUUGUUCCAAAAGGAAGAGAAAGCCACUCUUUUUCCCACAGUCCAUAUAGCAAAACCCAGGAAAGAUUCUAAUCGAACCUAUUGAAACGACCCCUGCCAGGGAGAUGGAGUUCAUUGGUUGGCCAGGUUGCAUCACCUUCCUGCUAUGAUGGGGGUUUGGGUGGGCCUCAUGGUGAACAACCCCACCAGGACAACGUGGAGUGGAGGAGGGGUUGUUCUAAAAAGAGAAGUCAUUGGAUGGACAAACCACAGUACCCACCAUGGAAAGCCACUUCCCUGGGAUCUGAUAAAUUCAUCAGCACCUAGGGAGACUGCCUAAUGGUAAUUACAUUCAGGCACUUGAUAAUUAAGUUGAUAUUGCAUUCUCUUAACUUUCAGUUCUAGCCUAGUAGUUGUAAAAAAUUACUUAGUUAUAAAUCACUUAGAACUCUUGCCACUUUUGUUCAACACAGUGUUGGAAGUCCUAGCCAGAAGCAAUUAGGCAAGAAAAAUAAAUAAAAGACAUCCAAAUCGGAAAGAAAGAAGUAAAACUGUCACUAUUUGCAGAUGACAUAUUAUAUACAGAAAACCCUAAAGACUCUCUCAAAAAACUGUUAGAACUAGUAAACAAAUUCAGUAAAGUUGUAGGAUACAAAAUCAAUAUGCAAAAACCUGUUGUAUUUCUAUACACUAAUAACAAACAAUAUAUCAGAGAAAUAAAGAAAACAAUCCCAUUGACAAUUUCAUCAAAAAGAAUAAGAUACCUAGGAAUAAAUUUAACUAAUGCAGUGAAAGAUCUGUAUAUUAAAAACUAUAAGGCAUUAGUGAAAGAAAUUGGAGAAAAAU